Molecule: ribosomal RNA, 425 nt
Filed under: uncultured bacterium
Lineage: Bacteria
Description: partial 16S ribosomal RNA
Rfam family: Bacterial small subunit ribosomal RNA
Source: RNAcentral
GUGGGGAAUAUUGGACAAUGGGCGCAAGCCUGAUCCAGCCAUGCCGCGUGAGUGAUGAAGGCCUUAGGGUUGUAAAGCUCUUUUGUCCGGGAAGAUAAUGACUGUACCGGAAGAAUAAGCCCCGGCUAACUUCGUGCCAGCAGCCGCGGUAAUACGAAGGGGGCUAGCGUUGUUCGGAAUCACUGGGCGUAAAGCGCACGUAGGCGGACCAUUAAGUCAGGGGGGAAAGCCUGGAGCUCAACUCCAGAACUGCCUUUGAUACUGAUGGUCUUGAGUAUGGAAGAGGUUGGUGGAACUGCGAGUGUAGAGGUGAAAUUCGUAGAUAUUCGCAAGAACACCGGUGGCGAAGGCGGCCAACUGGUCCAUUACUGACGCUGAGGUGCGAAAGCGUGGGGAGCAAACAGGAUUAGAAACCCUGGUAGUCC